RNAcentral lists this ribosomal RNA (262 nucleotides) under uncultured bacterium. Its description in RNAcentral is "partial 16S ribosomal RNA". It matches the Rfam family "Bacterial small subunit ribosomal RNA", at positions 97 to 354 of the family's 1533-position model. The record is from RNAcentral.
CCGGCACGGGUGAGUAACGCGUAUGCGACCUGCCCGUUGCAGGGGGGAUAAUCGGGAGAAAUCCCGUCUAAUACCGCGUAACGCCGCGGGGCUGCAUGGCCCUGCGGCCAAAGGGAGCGAUUCCGGCAACGGAUGGGCAUGCGUGACAUUAGCUAGUUGGCGGGGCAACGGCCCACCAAGGCGACGAUGUCUAGGGGUUCUGAGAGGAAGGUCCCCCACACUGGUACUGAGACACGGACCAGACUCCUACGGGAGGCAGCAG